RNAcentral lists this ribosomal RNA (253 nucleotides) under uncultured bacterium. RNAcentral describes it as "partial 16S ribosomal RNA". It matches the Rfam family "Bacterial small subunit ribosomal RNA", at positions 524 to 776 of the family's 1533-position model. The record is from RNAcentral.
UACGUAGGGUGCAAGCGUUAAUCGGAAUUACUGGGCGUAAAGCGCGCGUAGGCGGCUUUGCAAGUCGGGGGUGAAAUCCCCAGGCUUAACCUGGGAACUGCAUUCGAGACUGCAUUGCUAGAGUAUGGGAGAGGGAAGUGGAAUUUCAGGUGUAGCGGUGAAAUGCGUAGAUAUCUGAAGGAACAUCAGUGGCGAAAGCGACUUCCUGGACCAAUACUGACGCUCAUGUGCGAAAGCGUGGGGAGCAAACAGG